Long non-coding RNA from Anoplopoma fimbria (sablefish), 1107 nucleotides. RefSeq lists it as uncharacterized. Lineage: Eukaryota; Metazoa; Chordata; Actinopteri; Perciformes; Anoplopomatidae. The transcript has 3 exons. The record is from RefSeq and is a predicted model, not a curated record.
GCUCUUUCUUUUCACACCAUUGUCCAAUGCUUGAUACUGACAAAAGGCUCCCUCUUGAUACGAAUGACAAUUCAUUGGUAUCAUUUAAGUUUCAAAUGUAUUCAUUGUAAUUAUCCAUGCUUUGACUUUAAAUGUAGCCUAUUAUGCUCUUUUUCAGGUGCAUAUUUUUUUUAUCUCAAGUAACAGUUAAAACAUGUUUACAUGCAAUAAUGCUCAAAACUGCCUUGUUUUUAUAAUCCUGGCUGUUCUGCUGCACCUCCUCUUACCCUCCGUCUGAAACGCUCUAUUUUAGUGUCUGCUCCUCCAUCCAGAAAAGCCAGUCCACCCUGAUUGGUCAGCUAGCCCACUCUGUUGUGAUUGGUCAACCACUCAGCACAUGUGUCGGAAAUAUCCCGCCCCUUACCAUAAACAGAAUUCAGCUCCAAAAUAUCUCUGAGCAGCCAAAAACUAUGUAGGAGUCAAGAUUAACGGUAGCAUCUGUCCUGCUGAUCAGUACGAAUGUGAGUCAGUUAUAGAAAGUCAGGAGGAACAAGCCGAUAGACCCGAACCAGCGUCACAUCCAGGACUUGAGCAGGACCUUUCACAGUGGUCAAUAAUAGCAGAAAAUGUGGCAGAAUGGAAAAAGAAGUUGAAAACGUCUGCUGCCAAGAAAUACGACAGGUUUUGAAACAAAUGAACCAGGUUCCAGUCCCUCCUACAUGCAUGGUCCACCAUCCUGUCUUCGAUCCAAACUGUAUAAAUCCAUACACCCUGCUGAACAUUCACAUCAUAUAUGGAGCUGACUAUUGACGUUUUAGGGGGGAAUAGAACUGAGAAAUAUUUAUUUUUCCUCCAAAUGACUAAAAAAAUACAAAAAGACGCAUUUGUAAGUACUGUAAUAGUGUACAGACACUUUUGAGCUGCAAUGGAAAUUAUUUAUGAUUCUCUUCAUACAGGUGAUACCAACAUCUCCUCAACAAAUGGAGUUUGGUCCUCAAACACCUCCUCAAAUAGGCUACCAUUCUCAUCAGUUCAUCCACGUACAUAGCACUUAAUAGUCAUUUAUUUUGUAUUGUAUUAUUUGUAUGGAAGGAUGACUCCUUAUGCCUUACUUAUAUUUAAAAGGUA